GAUGAACGCUGGCGGCGUGCCUAAUACAUGCAAGUCGAGCGAACAGACGAGGAGCUUGCUCCUCUGACGUUAGCGGCGGACGGGUGAGUCACACGUGGAUAACCUACCUCUAAGACUGGGAUAACUUCGGGAAACCGGAGCUAAUACCGGAUAAUAUAUUGAACCGCAUGGUUCAAUAGUGAAAGACGGUUUUGCUGUCACUUAUAGAUGGAUCCGCGCCGCAUUAGCUAGUUGGUAAGGUAACGGCUUACCAAGGCGACGAUGCGUAGCCGACCUGAGAGGGUGAUCGGCCACACUGGAACUGAGAAACGGUCCAGACUCCGACGGGAGGCAGCAGUAGGGAAUCUUCCGCAAUGGGCGAAAGCCUGACGGAGCAACGCCGCGUGAGUGAUGAAGGUCUUCGGAUCGUAAAACUCUGUUAUUAGGGAAGAACAAAUGUGUAAGUAACUAUGCACGUCUUGACGGUACCGAAUCAGAAAGCCACGGCUAACUACGUG
Molecule: ribosomal RNA, 497 nt
Filed under: uncultured bacterium
Lineage: Bacteria
Description: partial 16S ribosomal RNA
Rfam family: Bacterial small subunit ribosomal RNA
Source: RNAcentral